This 250-nucleotide ribosomal RNA is filed under the name uncultured bacterium. RNAcentral's name for it is "partial 16S ribosomal RNA". It matches the Rfam family "Bacterial small subunit ribosomal RNA", at positions 524 to 773 of the family's 1533-position model. The record is from RNAcentral.
UACGAAGGGUGCAAGCGUUACUCGGAAUUACUGGGCGUAAAGCGUGCGUAGGUGGUUUGUUAAGUCUGAUGUGAAAGCCCUGGGCUCAACCUGGGAAUGGCACUGGAUACUGGCAAGCUAGAGUGUGGCAGAGGGUAGUGGAAUUCCUGGUGUAGCAGUGAAAUGCGUAGAGAUCAGGAGGAACAUCCGUGGCGAAGGCGGCUGCCUGGUCCGUAUCUGACGCUGAGGUGCGAAAGCUAGGGGAGCGAAC